UGGGUCGGUUAGUUAGUGGGAUAAUAGGGGGACUUAGGAUUAUCUAUUACCCUUGAUUUAUUUCUUUUAUAAUUUUAUUUCUGAUUUUUCCCAAAACUCCUCCCCCUUCUCUAACAUUUUUUUUUCUUUUCUCUCUAUUCUUUUUUCUUUCUUUGAAAAAAAUUCCUCAUUUUCCACUCUGCAAUCUUUCGUUCCAAUUAAAACUGUGUGCCAUUGUUGUUUGACCGACA
This 230-nucleotide long non-coding RNA is filed under the name Gossypium raimondii (Peruvian cotton). RNAcentral describes it as "long non-coding RNA (GRAI_LNC010571)". The record is from RNAcentral. Lineage: Eukaryota; Viridiplantae; Streptophyta; Magnoliopsida; Malvales; Malvaceae.